GACGGAGGAUGCAAGCGUUAUCCGGAAUUAUUGGGCGUAAAGCGUUCGCAGGUGGCUGUUCAAGUCUGCUGUCAAAGACCGGGGCUUAACCCCAGAAAGGCAGUGGAAACUGAACGGCUGGAGUGCAGUAUGGGUAGAGGGAAUUCCCAAUGUAGCGGUGAAAUGCGUAGAUAUUGGGAAGAACACCGGUGGCGAAAGCGCUCUGCCGGACUGCAACUGACACUGAGGGACGAAAGAUAGGGGAGCGAAAGGG
RNAcentral lists this ribosomal RNA (253 nucleotides) under uncultured bacterium. RNAcentral's name for it is "partial 16S ribosomal RNA". It matches the Rfam family "Bacterial small subunit ribosomal RNA", at positions 524 to 776 of the family's 1533-position model. The record is from RNAcentral.